AUCCGCUUUAGAUGCAUACAAUUGGCACAUCAUGGCAAUCAGCUUUAGAUGCAUACAAUUGGUACACCAGGACAAUCCUCUUUAGAUGCAUAAAAUUGGUACACCAUGACAAUCACUUUUAGAUGCAUACAGUUGGCACACCAUGGCAAUCAGGUUUAGAAGCAUAAACUAGGCACGUCAUGGCAAUCCGUUUUAGAGGCAUACAAUUGGCACACCAUGGCAUUCAGCUUGAGAUGCAUAAACUUGAC
Non-coding RNA from Pelobates cultripes (western spadefoot toad), 248 nucleotides. NCBI's taxonomy places the organism in Eukaryota, Metazoa, Chordata, Amphibia, Anura, Pelobatidae. The record is from the annotation of a GenBank genome assembly.